GUGUCAGCCGCCGCGGUAAUACGGGGGGGGCAAGCGUUGUUCGGAAUUACUGGGCGUAAAGGGUCUGUAGGUGGCCCGCUAAGUCACACGUGAAAUCCCUCAGCUUAACUGGGGAACUGCGUGUGAGACUGGCAGGCUUGAGUGCAGGAGAGGAACGCGGAAUUCCAGGUGUAGCGGUGAAAUGCGUAGAUAUCUGGAGGAACACCGGUGGCGAAGGCGGCGUUCUGGACUGUAUCUGACACUGAUAGACGAAAGCCAGGGGAGCAAACGGGAUUAGAUACCCCGGUAGUCC
This 292-nucleotide ribosomal RNA is filed under the name uncultured bacterium. Its description in RNAcentral is "partial 16S ribosomal RNA". It matches the Rfam family "Bacterial small subunit ribosomal RNA", at positions 505 to 796 of the family's 1533-position model. The record is from RNAcentral.